AUUUCCUUCCCUUUUAAAGUUGAGUAAUAUUCCACUGGGUAGAUCACAUUUUGUUGAUCUGUUCAUCCUGUGAUGGACAUUUGGUUCUUUCCACCUCAUCUUUAAGAGGGAAAUGACAUGAUCUUACUGUGUGGUCAGAGCACUGAGGCUGGUCGGAAAGGAGGCAGACUUGGGAGGACUGUGAGUUCCCGACAGAGGUGCAGCAAGACAGGUGCAGUCUGUAGGGAGGAAAGGGCUGGACUCAGCACAGUUUGGUGACAUUCUUCAUCCACUGGAAUGAAAGGGAGGGGACAGGAACCCAGGGUCUUAGUUUGGGAAAUUGGGAGGAGACAGAGAAGAAGGAGCAGAAGGAGGAGGAGAGAAGGAUAGUGAAGGAAAGCGGUUUUGCUUUUCUUUGGGGAUGGGGUGGAGCAGGGAAGAUAAUGCUGGAAUUGAGACAUCUUUAGGACAUCCAGUGGGCAAUGCUUGAGGAUAGGAGUGAAAAUGGAGUAAGGUGACCCCAUAAUUAUAAAAGGGACCAACAGAUACAGUGGAAGAGAAAUGUCCUCCUUUCUCCUCUCACCCAGAACUCUCUGCCAAGCCCUGCGGGUUCUUAGCUGGACAUAUGGUGCCCUCUCGUGGUCAUUAGAUGCAGCUGCAACUGAGCCUGCACCCUAGGGCAGAAAUGGCCUUCUGGCACGCUGAAAGCUGCAGUUGCGGCCAUUAGCCUAAGAAGAAACUCUGACCUUCACGAUGGAUUUUAAGAUCUGCACGUAAGGACUGGGUACUCAAAGGUCCAGAGAAGCUAACUGCCCCCUCGACACGCGCCGAGAGCCUAGGAGGCACUGUGGGACAGCAGGGGAGAAACAGGAGACCAAUAAUGGGAGGUUCACGCCUAACUUAGAGGAGUCCUAUGCUUUUGGUAUAAAUAUUAUUGUUUAUUGGAAAGCAUUCACAUAGAGGGAGCCUCCUAAACACAAGGCGGUGAGGGCUCCUUCAUCCCUGCGGUCCUUUGAGGGUGGCAAGGCCAACAUCGUGAUUCUAUCAUCUUUCUCCACCAGGCCCCUUCCGCAGCCCCGGCUCUUUCUGAGAAGUAACCCUGCCUCCCAAUCACACCUUUUUUCCAGGCCUGGGAUUUAACACUGAGCAGGCCUGGCCGCUUAUGAGUGUUGGGAAUCUGAGCAGAGCUCCCAGGAGCUCUGGUUCCCCACCCCCACCCCCCAACCAAUUAGGAAAAGUGCUGUGUCCAUCCUGACCUCUGGUAUGUGAGUUUUGACGUGCCCAGAGCUGGCUGCACGGCCUGGGGAUUUGGAAGAGAAGAAAGAAGGGGAAGAAGGCAGCACAACAGAACCCAGGGAGGUGGGCUCGACUGAGCUUUGCUCAUGAAUCCUGAGCACUCUCCCCUGUCCUGUUAGGCACAACAAACCACAAUCUUUUUCCUGAUGGGGAGGGGCCUCCCAUGGCUUUGAGUAAAUGCUGGCCUGGUUCUCAGAGCUCCAGGUCUUCCACUGAGUUCUCUGCACAGAUGCAGCCCAAGCAGCCGUUCCUCCUUCCUCUCCUCCCUCCGCUCUCCUGGGGCACAGCAUCCUCUCACCCAUUGCUCCAGCCACGUGGGCACAGACCCACGCUCAGAACUCAACCUCCUGAUCUUGUCAGAGGGUUUGCAGGCUGGGUCAGGGCAGGUAAGGAGAGGAUACUAAAAGGAAAUAGCCUCGAUAUGUCUGAUGAUGAACCAUAAGGUCUGAUUGGCUGGAACUGCAAGUUCUAGCCUCGUUCAGCCAAAUGGAAAAGGGCAUUAGCAGAGAAGGUGUUUCAGCCCUAUAUCCAGUUGGUGUCUCCUGCCUAACUCGGAGCAUGCCAUCCCUUCACUCCAGCGGGUGAGCUAGCCCCAGAAGAGUCCUCCGGAGAGGGGUGAAGUGGUACUUAGGGACUGAGGAACUGCUGAGAAGGAGAUAGCUUGUGGCAAUGAGGCCCUCUUGGGGUGGGACAUCCUCAAACUGCACUUGACGAUGGUCCCACCUGCUGGAGAAUCCGUUGGUGGUCUUUGCUGGGUGGGCAGGAGGUGGCUGUGGCAGGACCACACUUGGCUCUCUGGACCCCUCCUUCCUCCCUGCAGUGCCCAGUCACUGCCGAUGCCCACGCCCCGCCCUCGGGUUGCUUCCCUUUGUCAGCAUCUUGCCACCCUUAUAUCUUGGCUGUCUCAUACCCAACUGGUCAGGAGCAAUCUUUUGCCUCUUCUUGGUAAGCUAUCUUAGGUUUCCCCUGAAAUCUGAACCCCUCCAGGAGGUUUCUCUGGGUUUAUCAGCAGCUCUGUGCCCUCUCCUUGUCCCCACACUUGGCCAGGACUCAGGUCUUCUGAGGUUUCUUCCCCCUUGUCCAGCCCGGCCCAUGGCUCCUGCCGUAGGUGGGGUGGGUCUCACAUUCCAGUUGGCCUCAGCCCUGGCCUAUUCACAUGGACCCUGGGUCUCCUCCUUGAUCUAAAUAUUUCUUCCUAUCACAUGUUAUGCUUUGUUCCAGUCUCAUAAUGUGUUGCAAUAUCAAUUGCUACAUUUUUACCCUUUUGACUAGUUGGAUUUUCUUUGUAGCCCUCCUAUUGGUCAGACUGGGCUUUUUUUUUUUUUUGCACUGGGGAGGUGGGUGGGGGUGUGUGGUAUCACAUAGACUAAAAAAGCUACCUCUUGGCAUUGAUUUUCAAAUUGGAUCAAAGUAUUAAAAAAAAAAAGGGAGAAUGGCUCUUAAUUUUAGGUUAGGUCAAGAAGGAGAGGUAAGCAAGUGGGCUCAGAAUUCUGCAGACAGGGAAGGAUGUGUCUAAGGCGCUCAGCUUGGAGGACUGACUCAGUAGGAAGUAGGAGGCUGAGGCCGGGCUGUGAGGGCAGGUCCUGCCUGGGCAGGCGAAGCCUGGUAAUAAGAUCAGAUUACAUAAUGGGUUUUUUGCAAGGCUGGUUGGCUGUGAGUCGGCUCAGCACUCGGCAUUCAAGUCUUCCCUCUCAAAUCCACCACCCGGAAUCCACCGCCAUCCCCUGGGCCUGGC
Molecule: long non-coding RNA, 3010 nt
Organism: Bubalus bubalis (water buffalo)
Lineage: Eukaryota; Metazoa; Chordata; Mammalia; Artiodactyla; Bovidae
Exons: 2
Source: RefSeq, a predicted model, not a curated record